RNAcentral lists this ribosomal RNA (376 nucleotides) under uncultured bacterium. Its description in RNAcentral is "bacterial SSU rRNA". It matches the Rfam family "Bacterial small subunit ribosomal RNA", at positions 524 to 898 of the family's 1533-position model. The record is from RNAcentral.
UACGUAGGUGGCGAGCGUUGUCCGGAAUUACUGGGUGUAAAGGGCGUGUAGGCGGGGAUGUAAGUCAGAUGUGAAAUACCAUGGCUCAACUGUGGGGCUGCAUCUGAAACUACAUUUCUUGAGUGCUGGAGAGGAAAGCGGAAUUCCCAGUGUAGCGGUGAAAUGCGUAGAUAUUGGGAGGAACACCAGUGGCGAAGGCGGCUUUCUGGACAGUAACUGACGCUGAGGCGCGAAAGCGUGGGGAGCAAACAGGAUUAGAUACCCUGGUAGUCCACGCCGUAAACGAUGGAUACUAGGUGUAGGAGGUAUCGACCCCUUCUGUGCCGGAGUUAACACAAUAAGUAUCCCACCUGGGGAGUACGGCCGCAAGGUUGAA